CCUACGGGCGGCAGCAGUGGGGAAUAUUGGACAAUGGGCGAAAGCCUGAUCCAGCCAUGCCGCGUGUGUGAAGAAGGCCUUCGGGUUGUAAAGCACUUUCAGUGGGGAAGAAAGCCUUGGGGCUAAUACCCUCGAGGAAGGACAUCACCCACAGAAGAAGCACCGGCUAACUCCGUGCCAGCAGCCGCGGUAAUACGGAGGGUGCGAGCGUUAAUCGGAAUUACUGGGCGUAAAGCGCGCGUAGGCGGUCUGAUAAGCCGGUUGUGAAAGCCCCGGGCUCAACCUGGGAACGGCAUCCGGAACUGUCAGGCUAGAGUGCAGGAGAGGAAGGUAGAAUUCCCGGUGUAGCGGUGAAGUGCGUAGAGAUCGGGAGGAAUACCAGUGGCGAAGGCGGCCUUCUGGACUGACACUGACGCUGAGGUGCGAAAGCGUGGGUAGCAAACAGGAGUAGAUACCCCUGUAGUC
RNAcentral lists this ribosomal RNA (465 nucleotides) under Vreelandella stevensii. RNAcentral describes it as "partial 16S ribosomal RNA". It matches the Rfam family "Bacterial small subunit ribosomal RNA", at positions 338 to 795 of the family's 1533-position model. Lineage: Bacteria; Pseudomonadati; Pseudomonadota; Gammaproteobacteria; Oceanospirillales; Halomonadaceae. The record is from RNAcentral.